Molecule: ribosomal RNA, 468 nt
Filed under: uncultured bacterium
Lineage: Bacteria
Description: partial 16S ribosomal RNA
Rfam family: Bacterial small subunit ribosomal RNA
Source: RNAcentral
GACGAACGCUGGCGGCGUGCUUAACACAUGCAAGUCGAACGGAAAGGCCCUGCUUUUGUGGGGUGCUCGAGUGGCGAACGGGUGAGUAACACGUGAGUAACCUGCCCUUGACUUUGGGAUAACUUCAGGAAACUGGGGCUACUACCGGAUAGGAGCCCCUGCUGCAUGGUGGGGGUUGGAACGUUUCGGCGGUCGGGGAUGGACUCGCGGCUUAUCAGCUUGUUGGUGGGGUAGUGGCUUACCAAGGCUUUGACGGGUAGCCGGCCUGAGAGGGUGACCGGCGACAUUGGGACUGAGAUACGGACCAGACUCCUACGGGAGGCAGCAGUGGGGAAUAUUGCACAAUGGGCGGAAGCCUGAUGCAGAAACGCCGCGUGCGGGAUGACGGCCUUCGGGUUGUAAACCGCUUUCGCCUGUGACGAAGCGUGAGUGACGGUAAUGGGUAAAGAAGCACCGGCUAACUACGUG